Molecule: long non-coding RNA, 407 nt
Organism: Salvia hispanica
Lineage: Eukaryota; Viridiplantae; Streptophyta; Magnoliopsida; Lamiales; Lamiaceae
Source: RefSeq, a predicted model, not a curated record
UCUCUGCUCUCUUUCUUCUCUGCCGCCGGGAGAGAAUCGUGUGUUGAGUGAGGGUGGUUGAGCGAGGCAAAUUAGGGUAGAGAGAUUUAAAUACCGUGUUUUGUGAGACUAAGGGAGAUUAUGGGAGAGGAGAAAGAGGAGAAAGACGCGUAAAGAUGUAGGAGGAGAAAUCUUUGCAGAUUUAUUUGACUGCAAUUGAAAUUAAAGGAAAAUUUUCAGAUUUAUUUGACUGCAAUCGAAAUUAAAGGAAAGUUUUUGAAAUCAAGAAAAAGCUCUUACAAUUUAAUUAAAUUAAUUUGGGCUCAAACCCUUUCUAUCUAUUUCAUUUAAAUUAUGUAGCUUGCAAAUUAUGUUUCACAAGAUCGGACUUAUAUUAUUUAUUUAUUUUUAUCGGAUCCAUUGCGGAA